This 409-nucleotide ribosomal RNA is filed under the name uncultured delta proteobacterium. Its description in RNAcentral is "bacterial SSU rRNA". It matches the Rfam family "Bacterial small subunit ribosomal RNA", at positions 138 to 523 of the family's 1533-position model. Lineage: Bacteria; Deltaproteobacteria. The record is from RNAcentral.
GGGGGAUAACAUUCCGAAAGGGACGCUAAUACCGCAUAAGACCACGACGUCUCCGGGCGAUGUGGGAAAAGGUGGCCUCUUCUUGAAAGCUACCACCGAAGGAUGAGCCUGCGUCCCAUCAGCUAGUUGGUAAGGUAAUGGCUUACCAAGGCGAAGACGGGUAGCUGGUUUGAGAGAAUGAUCAGCCACACUGGCACUGGAACACGGGCCAGACUCCUACGGGAGGCAGCAGUGAGGAAUAUUGGGCAAUGGGCGAAAGCCUGACCCAGCCACGCCGCGUGAGUGAUGAAGGCCUUCGGGUCGUAAAGCUCUGUGGAGAGGGACGAAAACCCUGGUUUCAAAUAGGCUCCAGGCUUGACGGUACCUCUUUAGCAAGCACCGGCUAACUCUGUGCCAGCAGCCGCGGUAA